GGUCUGAGGGAGGAGGGCUGGAGCCUCAAGCCUGGGUUCUCACCCUGGCCCUUCCUCCUUCCAG
RNAcentral lists this microRNA precursor (64 nucleotides) under Microtus ochrogaster (prairie vole). RNAcentral describes it as "miRNA (ENSMOCG00000006117.1)". The record is from RNAcentral. Lineage: Eukaryota; Metazoa; Chordata; Mammalia; Rodentia; Cricetidae.